Non-coding RNA from Callorhinus ursinus (northern fur seal), 91 nucleotides. Lineage: Eukaryota; Metazoa; Chordata; Mammalia; Carnivora; Otariidae. The record is from RefSeq and is a predicted model, not a curated record.
CCCCGUUUGACAGACAGCCGCAUCUUCUGGUGCAGUGUCAGCCGCGUCCCUGAGACACGAUGGUGAAGGUCGGAGAGAUAGGAAGAGGGUC